GUCGAACGGAGUUAUCAUUUUUGAAGCGAUUAGCUUGCUAAGAGUGGAACAGUUGAUAACUUAGUGGCGGACGGGUGAGUAACGCGUGGGUAACCUGCCUUACACAGGGGGAUAACACUUAGAAAUAGGUGCUAAUACCGCAUAAGCGCACAGUCCCGCAUGGGACAGAGUGAAAAACAUUAGUGGUGUAAGAUGGACCCGCGUCUGAUUAGCUUGUUGGCGGGGUAACGGCCCACCAAGGCGACAAUCAGUAGCCGGCCUGAGAGGGUGGACGGCCACAUUGGGACUGAGACACGGCCCAAACUCCUACGGGAGGCAGCAGUGGGGGAUAUUGGACAAUGGGGGAAACCCUGAUCCAGCGACGCCGCGUGAGUGAAGAAGUAUUUCGGUAUGUAAAGCUCUAUCAGCAGGGAAGAAAGAAAUGACGGUACCUGAGUAAGAAGCCCCGGCUAACUACGUGCCAGCAGCCGCGGUAAUACGUAGGGGGCAAGCGUUAUCCGGAAUUACUGGGUGUAAAGGGAGCGUAGACGGUAAUGCAAGUCUGGAGUGAAAGGCGGGGGCCCAACCCCCGGACUGCUCUGGAAACUGUGUAACUGGAGUGCAGGAGAGGCAGGCGGAAUUCCUAGUGUAGCGGUGAAAUGCGUAGAUAUUAGGAGGAACACCAGUGGCGAAGGCGGAUUGCUGGACAGUAACUGACGCUGAGGCGCGAAAGCGUGGGGAGCAAACAGGAUUAGAUACCCUGGUAGUCCACGCCGUAAA
Molecule: ribosomal RNA, 759 nt
Filed under: uncultured bacterium
Lineage: Bacteria
Description: bacterial SSU rRNA
Rfam family: Bacterial small subunit ribosomal RNA
Source: RNAcentral